GAAUUAUUGAGAUAUAUUUGGUCUAUGAAAACUUUGCAUAUAAUUAACAUAUACAAUGUGGUGAGUUUGGAUGUAUGCAUGCACUCGUGUUACCAUCAUCAGAUCAAGGUAACAAACAUAUCUAUCACCUCUGAAAGUUUCCAUGUGUUUCUCUUAUUUUUUAAACACAGAAAACUGUACUUGAACAAUGGUUAAAAUAAAAUUAAAA
Long non-coding RNA from Phyllostomus discolor (pale spear-nosed bat), 208 nucleotides. RefSeq lists it as uncharacterized. The record is from RefSeq and is a predicted model, not a curated record. The transcript has 3 exons. Lineage: Eukaryota; Metazoa; Chordata; Mammalia; Chiroptera; Phyllostomidae.